This 444-nucleotide ribosomal RNA is filed under the name Arthrobacter sp. IGS82. Its description in RNAcentral is "bacterial SSU rRNA". It matches the Rfam family "Bacterial small subunit ribosomal RNA", at positions 22 to 478 of the family's 1533-position model. Lineage: Bacteria; Bacillati; Actinomycetota; Actinomycetes; Micrococcales; Micrococcaceae. The record is from RNAcentral.
GCUCAGGAUGAACGCUGGCGGCGUGCUUAACACAUGCAAGUCGAACGAUGAUCCGGUGCUUGCACCGGGGAUUAGUGGCGAACGGGUGAGUAACACGUGAGUAACCUGCCCUUAACUCUGGGAUAAGCCUGGGAAACUGGGUCUAAUACCGGAUAUGACUCCUCAUCGCAUGGUGGGGGGUGGAAAGCUUUUUGUGGUUUUGGAUGGACUCGCGGCCUAUCAGCUUGUUGGUGAGGUAAUGGCUCACCAAGGCGACGACGGGUAGCCGGCCUGAGAGGGUGACCGGCCACACUGGGACUGAGACACGGCCCAGACUCCUACGGGAGGCAGCAGUGGGGAAUAUUGCACAAUGGGCGCAAGCCUGAUGCAGCGACGCCGCGUGAGGGAUGACGGCCUUCGGGUUGUAAACCUCUUUCAGUAGGGAAGAAGCGAAAGUGACGGUAC